UAGUCCACGCCGUAAACGAUGAUCACUCGAUAUUGGCCUCCGGGUCAGUGUCCAAGCGAAAGUAUUAAGUGAUCCACCUGGGGAGUACGCUGGCAACAGUGAAACUCAAAGGAAUUGACGGGGGCCCGCACAAGCGGUGGAGCAUGUGGUUUAAUUCGAUGAUACGCGAGGAACCUUACCAGGGCUUAAAUGCAGAACGACCGGCGUGGAAACAUGCCUUUCUUCGGACGGACUGCAAGGUGCUGCAUGGUCGUCGUCAGCUCGUGCCGUGAGGUGUCGGGUUAAGUCCCAUAACGAGCGCAACCCCUAUCUUUAGUUGCCAGCGGAUAAUGCCGGGGACUCUAGAGAAACUGCCAGCGUAAGCAGAGAGGAGGGGACGACGUCAAGUCAUCAUGGCCCUUACGCCCAGGGCUACACACGUGCUACAAUGGCGCAUACAGAGGGUCGCAACAUAGCAAUAUGAAGCCAAUCUCAAAAAGUGACGUCUCAGUUCGGAGUUG
This 500-nucleotide ribosomal RNA is filed under the name uncultured bacterium. RNAcentral describes it as "bacterial SSU rRNA". It matches the Rfam family "Bacterial small subunit ribosomal RNA", at positions 791 to 1301 of the family's 1533-position model. The record is from RNAcentral.